This 292-nucleotide ribosomal RNA is filed under the name uncultured Bacteroidota bacterium. Its description in RNAcentral is "uncultured Bacteroidetes bacterium partial 16S ribosomal RNA". Lineage: Bacteria; Pseudomonadati; Bacteroidota. The record is from RNAcentral.
GGACUACCGGGGUAUCUAAUCCUGUUUGAUCCCCACGCUUUCGUGCCUCAGCGUCAAUAUAGGCGUAGUAAGCUGCCUUCGCAAUAGGUGUUCUAUGUCAUAUCUAUGCAUUUCACCGCUACAUGACAUAUUCCGCUUACCUCCACCAUAUUCAAGACUGAUAGUAUCAAUGGCAGUUCUGGAGUUAAGCUCCAGGAUUUCACCACUGACUUAACAGCCCGCCUACGCACCCUUUAAACCCAGUGAAUCCGGAUAACGCUUGCACCCUCCGUAUUACCGCGGCUGCUGGCAC